RNAcentral lists this ribosomal RNA (204 nucleotides) under Clostridioides difficile. RNAcentral's name for it is "partial 23S ribosomal RNA". It matches the Rfam family "Bacterial large subunit ribosomal RNA", at positions 2421 to 2624 of the family's 2925-position model. The record is from RNAcentral. Lineage: Bacteria; Bacillati; Bacillota; Clostridia; Peptostreptococcales; Peptostreptococcaceae.
CGGUGGUGCUGCGUGGAAGGGCCAUCGCUCAACGGAUAAAAGCUACCCGGGGGAUAACAGGCUUAUCUCCCCCAAGAGUCCACAUCGACGGGGAGGUUUGGCACCUCGAUGUCGGCUCAUCACAUCCUGGGGCUGUAGUAGGUCCCAAGGGUUGGGCUGUUCGCCCAUUAAAGUGGUACGCGAGCUGGGUUCAGAACGUCGUGA